Molecule: ribosomal RNA, 271 nt
Filed under: uncultured archaeon
Lineage: Archaea
Description: partial 16S ribosomal RNA
Rfam family: Archaeal small subunit ribosomal RNA
Source: RNAcentral
CAGCACCUCAAGUGGUCAGGAUGAUUAUUGGGUCUAAAGGGUCCGUAGCCGGUUUGAUCAGUCUUUUGGGAAAUCUGACAGCUUAACUGUUAGGCUUCCAAAGGAUACUGUCAGACUUGGGACCGGGAGAGGUAAGAGGUACUACAGGGGUAGGAGUGAAAUCUUGUAAUCCCUGUGGGACCACCAGUGGCGAAGGCGUCUUACCAGAACGGGUCCGACGGUGAGGGACGAAAGCUGGGGGCACGAACCGGAUUAGAUACCCGAGUAGUCC